This 492-nucleotide ribosomal RNA is filed under the name uncultured bacterium. RNAcentral's name for it is "partial 16S ribosomal RNA". It matches the Rfam family "Bacterial small subunit ribosomal RNA", at positions 29 to 507 of the family's 1533-position model. The record is from RNAcentral.
AGUGAACGCUGGCGGUAGGCCUAACACAUGCAAGUCGAACGGCAGCACAGUAAGAGCUUGCUCUUACGGGUGGCGAGUGGCGGACGGGUGAGGAAUACAUCGGAAUCUACUUUUUCGUGGGGGAUAACGUAGGGAAACUUACGCUAAUACCGCAUACGACCUACGGGUGAAAGCAGGGGAUCUUCGGACCUUGCGCGAUUGAAUGAGCCGAUGUCGGAUUAGCUAGUUGGCGGGGUAAAGGCCCACCAAGGCGACGAUCCGUAGCUGGUCUGAGAGGAUGAUCAGCCACGCUGGAACUGAGACACGGUCCAGACUCCUACGGGAGGCAGCAGUGGGGAAUAUUGGACAAUGGGCGCAAGCCUUAUCCAGCCAUACCGCGUGGGUGAAGAAGGCCUUCGGGUUGUAAAGCCCUUUUGUUGGGAAAGAAAAGCAGCAGGUUAAUACCCCGCUGUUCUGACGGUACCCAAAGAAUAAGCACCGGCUAACUUCGUG